Molecule: non-coding RNA, 1083 nt
Organism: Coturnix japonica (Japanese quail)
Lineage: Eukaryota; Metazoa; Chordata; Aves; Galliformes; Phasianidae
Source: RefSeq, a predicted model, not a curated record
CUGGUUUCCUCCCAGCAGAGGGCUCCCGAGUGCGGCUGCGCGGUUGGUCGCUGCUGCUGUUGAACGUGACCCGGUUGGACGCGGGGCGGUACCGGCUGCGCUGCACCAACGACGAGGGGACAGGAAGCGCCACAGUCACAUUGAGCGUCCACUACCCCCCCAGCAUCGUUUGGGCUCCUGACCCGGUUCUGGUUGACGAAGGUGGCGCCGCUGAGCUGCAAUGUGGGGCAGAAGGGAACCCACUGCCCCCCAACAGCCUGCAGUGGGGGCGGCUGCAGGAGGCAUCCUAUGGGGCAGUCCCGGGUCCUCUGCCCCCCGGGCUUCAAUCUGUGGGUUCUGCCCCACGGAUCCGCCUGCGGGUGGCGCCAGCGCGGCGGGACUUAGCGGGAGCUUAUCAGUGCCACGUGGAUAAUGGGGUCAGCCCCACAGCGAGGGCCACCAUCAGGCUGGUGGUCAGAUACGGCCCCGAGCUGGAUGACGAGCUCCCGUUGGUGUGGGUCCAAGAUGGCGCCGAUUGGGCCCAACUGCGCUGCAGGGCCCGCGGGGUCCCACCUGUACAGCUCAGCUGGGAGCGGCACGGCCAAUCACUGCCCCCCAACGGACAGCGGUAACCAAUCACAGGCAGCCGCGGUCAACGGGAGCCAAUCAGAGCUUGUUGGGGUCAAUGGGAGCCAAUCAGAGUCUGUUGGGGUCUAUAGAAGCCAAUCAGAGUCAGAUGGGGUCAACGGGAGCCAAUCAGAGUCGGAUGGGGUCUACGGGAGCCAAUCAGAUUCUGUUGGGGUCAACAGGAGCCAAUCAGAGUCAGAUGGGGUCUAUGGGAGCCAAUCGGAUUUAGUCUGGGGUCAAGAGGAACCGAUCAGGGCCUGAUGGGGUCAACUGGAGCCAAUCAGAGCCAGUUGGGGUCAAUGGGAACCAAUCAGAGCCAGCUGAGGUCAACUGGAGCCAAUCAGAUUUAGUUUGGGGUCAAUGGGAACCAACCAGAGCCAGCUGGGAUCAAAAAGAACCAAUCAGAUUUAGCCGUGAUCAGCAUUCCACCCCAUCCCAGUCCCUCCCAGUCCCACUCCCAUGUUCCAGCCCCAUCCC